AUACAUGCAAGUCGAGCGGACCGACGGGAGCUUGCUCCCUUAGGUCAGCGGCGGACGGGUGAGUAACACGUGGGUAACCUGCCUGUAAGACUGGGAUAACUCCGGGAAACCGGGGCUAAUACCGGAUGCUUGAUUGAACCGCAUGGUUCCAAUCAUAAAAGGUGGCUUUCAGCUACCACUUACUGAUGGACCCGCGGCGCAUUAGCUAGUUGGUGAGGUAACGGCUCACCAAGGCGACGAUGCGUAGCCGACCUGAGAGGGUGAUCGGCCACACUGGGACUGAGACACGGCCCAGACUCCUACGGGAGGCAGCAGUAGGGAAUCUUCCGCAAUGGACGAAAGUCUGACGGAGCAACGCCGCGUGAGUGAUGAAGGUUUUCGGAUCGUAAAACUCUGUUGUUAGGGAAGAACAAGUACCGUUCGAAUAGGGCGGCACCUUGACGGUACCUAACCAGAAAGCCACGGCUAACUACGUGCCAGCAGCCGCGGUAAUACGUAGGUGGCAAGCGUUGUCCGGAAUUAUUGGGCGUAAAGCGCGCGCAGGCGGUUUCUUAAGUCUGAUGUGAAAGCCCCCGGCUCAACCGGGGAGGGUCAUUGGAAACUGGGGAACUUGAGUGCAGAAGAGGAGAGUGGAAUUCCACGUGUAGCGGUGAAAUGCGUAGAGAUGUGGAGGAACACCAGUGGCGAAGGCGACUCUCUGGUCUGUAACUGACGCUGAGGCGCG
RNAcentral lists this ribosomal RNA (724 nucleotides) under uncultured Bacilli bacterium. RNAcentral's name for it is "bacterial SSU rRNA". It matches the Rfam family "Bacterial small subunit ribosomal RNA", at positions 51 to 755 of the family's 1533-position model. Lineage: Bacteria; Bacillati; Bacillota; Bacilli. The record is from RNAcentral.